GAUGAAGAACUCAGCGAAAUGCGAUAAGUAAUGUGAAUUGCAGAAUUCAGUGAAUCAUCGAAUCUUUGAACGCACCUUGCACUCCUUGGUAUUCCGAGGAGUACGCCUGUUCGAGUGUUAUGAAGCUCUCAAAACGCAAUUGGCUUAAAACCUGAUUGUUGUUUUGGAUUUGAACUUUGCCGUGUUAUAACGGCUGGUUUUAAAAGUAUUAGCUGGUACUAGAACGAAUUGGUUCUACUCAACGUGAUAAUUAUCUGAUCGUUGAGGACAUUCCUUUCACGAGGAAUGGCCAUAGUAAAUUCAAUGGACUGCUUCUAAUCUGGCUUUAAUUCUUUAUUGGAUUAACCACUUUUCAAAUCUGACCUCGAAUCAGGUGGGACUACCCGCUGAACUUAAGCAUAUCAAUAAGCGGAGGA
RNAcentral lists this unclassified non-coding RNA (416 nucleotides) under soil metagenome. Its description in RNAcentral is "partial contains 5.8S ribosomal RNA, internal transcribed spacer 2, and large subunit ribosomal RNA". The stretch from base 1 to 120 matches the Rfam family "5.8S ribosomal RNA", at positions 35 to 154 of the family's 154-position model. The record is from RNAcentral.